This 1403-nucleotide long non-coding RNA is filed under the name Calidris pygmaea (Spoon-billed sandpiper). Its description in RNAcentral is "lncRNA (ENSCPGG00000004613.1)". Lineage: Eukaryota; Metazoa; Chordata; Aves; Charadriiformes; Scolopacidae. The record is from RNAcentral.
AGGGCUUAUUCAGUGCCUUCAAGUAGGACAUGGUUCUUACAGGUAUGUCAAAGUCCUUCUGUGUGACAGAAAUGUAACUGUUUGGCCUUACUAAAAAGUAGCAGAGCACAGAUUGGGAAAAUCCUGAUCUGACUAUUCCUGCUGUCUAACUCUUAUGUAACAAAUCUUUCCCUUUUCUUUCCAAACAGUUAAGUACCCUUUUGUUCUACAAAACAAGUAGCAGUUUGGGGCUCAAGAAGAAAACUCCUCAAAUACAAGUAAGAGAUGACUCCUUUAACAACAUCCUCAUCCUAAAAUCAGUUCAACACAUAAACACGGGAGAGGGAGGAGGAAAAAUAAUGGCUACUAAAUACUUAUGGGAGAGGGAAAAAACAGACAGACAGAAAGAUCCCAAAGCAUCCUGCACUAAAUUCUGUCCUCUAUCUGGAGUUAAAUGAACAGUAGUUAUCUGGUUUAUAGAUUUGACAAAUUCUUCUGGAUACCUGCCAACUUUGUGAUCUACUUGAACUACAGCUUAAGAACGGUAUGAGAUCACCAGGAUUUCUGCACAACUUCAAAGCUCUGUAAACUAGAGCUGCACAACUCUCAGGCUGAACAAACAUCUCCAGGCUCUCUGUGCAGCUUUAAGGCUCCUUGAACCACAGCCAUUUGUUUCACAGAGUUUACAAAUUCUAUUAAGCAUAUCUGGAGCGCACCUAAAUUCUAAUACAUGUCAGCUAUUUUUUGCAUUAAAAGGAACUUCAAUAUUCAGAAGUCCAUGGCUUUUAUCUGUCAUUUUCCUCUUCCAAAACAAAUUUUGUUUGGUUGCCAUUAAAUUAAAAUUUGUAAAUAGAAACAAUUUUCUAGACCAUAUUUAACAAAAAGAGGCCCUGGGAGAUUGUCCUUGCAGUGAAAGCUGCUACUUAUAAAAUCCCUUACUAGGAAAAGCUCCUUAUCUAAUUAAAAUUCAAACUGUCACUAAAAAAAAUUCUCCAUUAGCUGGAGAACACACACCAACAUUUUAAAACUCCAGAAGUUUAAAUGUAAUUCAUAAUCUGUUUUAAUCUGGAAACAAAUUAGAAUCUUAAAUGUAAGGCCUCCAACAGUACCAAGACAGCAGGGAUGCUCAUUUUCUUGAACACACAGCAUGUGAACAGACCCUGGUGGACUAGUCAACAGUGUAAAGUGGGUUUUCUCUUACAUAAGUAACUGGGUCACUGUUUAAUGUCCCUUUGUCAUUCUAAGACAUUAACUGCAUUCUGCAACCGAGUUAAGAAGGGAUAACAACCAACCUCCUUGACAGAUGCCAUCAAUGAAUCUCCAUAGCUUUCUCUCCUGUCAUCAGCAAUGACAUUGUUUUCUCCUUUUUUGAGCAAAUGCUAUUUUAUGGUAAUCUCUCUCUCCCUUUUUUUUUUUUUUUACAU